UACGGGGGGGGCAAGCGUCGUUCGGAAUUACUGGGCGUAAAGGGCGCGUAGGCGGCCUGCUAAGUCGGACGUGAAAUCCCUCGGCUCAACCGGGGAACUGCGUCCGAUACUGGCGGGCUUGAAUCCGGGAGAGGAAUGCGGAAUUCCAGGUGUAGCGGUGAAAUGCGUAGAUAUCUGGAGGAACACCGGUGGCGAAGGCGGCAUUCUGGACCGGCAUUGACGCUGAUGCGCGAAAGCCAGGGGAGCAAACGGG
RNAcentral lists this ribosomal RNA (253 nucleotides) under uncultured bacterium. Its description in RNAcentral is "partial 16S ribosomal RNA". It matches the Rfam family "Bacterial small subunit ribosomal RNA", at positions 524 to 776 of the family's 1533-position model. The record is from RNAcentral.